UCUGGAAGGACUAGUGGUUAGGCCUUGGCGCUCUCGUCACAGCAGCCCAGGUUCAAAUCCCGGCCAGUG
This is a non-coding RNA of Pangasianodon gigas (Mekong giant catfish), 69 nucleotides long. NCBI's taxonomy places the organism in Eukaryota, Metazoa, Chordata, Actinopteri, Siluriformes, Pangasiidae. The record is from the annotation of a GenBank genome assembly.